Phyllostomus discolor (pale spear-nosed bat) is the source of this 224-nucleotide long non-coding RNA. RefSeq lists it as uncharacterized. The record is from RefSeq and is a predicted model, not a curated record. Lineage: Eukaryota; Metazoa; Chordata; Mammalia; Chiroptera; Phyllostomidae. The transcript has 3 exons.
AGCAGCCAACCCUUACCCUAGGCACUCCAACAAGGAAGACGCCACGUCAAAAUGAUCAGAAAGGGACAGCUAACCUCUCGGGGCUAGAGUUUGUUUCGAAAGGGAAGGUGUUAGACUACAUGGCGGAGCUGGCCUCCUGGGCCUAAGAUUCCCCAAGCCCCUCAUUUCUGUGACGGAAGGAAGACACAGUAAGGUCAGCAGCAGGGACACCCCAUCCUGUCCUC